CCUACGGGAGGCAGCAGUGAGGAAUAUUGCGCAAUGGGGGCAACCCUGACGCAGCGACGCCGCGUGAGUGAGGAAGGCCUUCGGGUCGUAAAGCUCUGUCAGCAGGGAAGAAGUGCAACAUGGUUAAUAUCUGUGUUGUUUGACGGUACCUGCAAAGGAAGCACCGGCUAACUCCGUG
Molecule: ribosomal RNA, 178 nt
Filed under: uncultured bacterium
Lineage: Bacteria
Description: partial 16S ribosomal RNA
Rfam family: Bacterial small subunit ribosomal RNA
Source: RNAcentral